This 182-nucleotide small RNA is filed under the name Chrysemys picta bellii (western painted turtle). Its description in RNAcentral is "TUC338 (ENSCPBG00000008059.1)". Lineage: Eukaryota; Metazoa; Chordata; Testudines; Emydidae. The record is from RNAcentral.
UUGACAGCCCUGGAGACUGAAGGCUUCUUUUUAUGCACAGAGCACCAACACCAUCUGCAGCAGAAGUCCAAACUUGUACUUGAAACAGCCCUGCCAAUAUAUUUCCCCUCUAACCCGAGAGCCACACCUUAAGGUACGAGUGGGGAAAUCAGUCCCUAUUACCAAGGUAAACCAUGGCCUUG